UUAUGGCUCAGGAUGAACGCUGGCGGCGUGCUUAACACAUGCAAGUCGAACGGAGUUUAGAUGAAACCUAGUGAUUCUAAACUUAGUGGCGGACGGGUGAGUAACGCGUGGGUAACCUGCCCUAUACAGGGGGAUAACAGUUGGAACGACUGCUAACACCGCAUGACAUCGCGAGAGCGCAUGAUCUUGCGAUCAAAUAUUUAUAGGUAUAGGAUGGGCCCGCGUCUGAUUAGCUGGUUGGUGAGGUAACGGCCACCAAGGCGACGAUCAGUAGCCGUACUGAGAGGUAGAACGGCCACAUUGGGACUGAGACACGGCCCAAACUCCUACGGGAGGCAGCAGUGGGGAAUAUUGGUCAAUGGGGGGAAACCCUGAACCAGCGAACCGGCCGCGUGAGUGAAGAAGUAUUUCGGUAUGUAAAGCUCUAUCAGCAGGGACGAUGAUGACGGUACCUGACUAAGAAGCCCCGGCUAACUACGUGCCAGCAGCAGC
Molecule: ribosomal RNA, 492 nt
Filed under: uncultured bacterium
Lineage: Bacteria
Description: bacterial SSU rRNA
Rfam family: Bacterial small subunit ribosomal RNA
Source: RNAcentral